RNAcentral lists this ribosomal RNA (391 nucleotides) under Leptodactylus pentadactylus (smoky jungle frog). RNAcentral's name for it is "partial 16S ribosomal RNA". It matches the Rfam family "Archaeal large subunit ribosomal RNA", at positions 1952 to 2465 of the family's 2987-position model. The record is from RNAcentral. Lineage: Eukaryota; Metazoa; Chordata; Amphibia; Anura; Leptodactylidae.
UGCCCAGUGACUCUGUUCAACGGCCGCGGUAUCCUAACCGUGCGAAGGUAGCGUAAUCACUUGUUCUUUAAAUGAGGACUAGUAUGAAUGGCACCACGAAGGUUAUACUGUCUCCUCUAUCUAAUCAGUGAAACUAAUCUCCCCGUGAAGAAGCGGGGAUAAUUGUAUAAGACGAGAAGACCCUACGGAGCUUUAAACUAAGAAUCAUCUGCUUUACCCUCCUUCAAAUUUCAGAAAACUAACUUUUACCAAAGCACUCUGAUCUCUAGUCUUAGGUUGGGGUGACCACGGAGUAAAAACCAACCUCCGCAAUGAACCGGGAUCUUUCCUUAACCAAGGGCCACAGCCCUAAGAAUCAACACAUUGACAUCAAUUGACCCAAAAAUUUGAU